AUGGAUAGAGACAGGAACCGCGAGGUCGACGUGCCGCUCAAGGUCGACGUGAGCGAUGAAAAGGGCGAGGCGAGCAGCGGGACAUCGCUGCCGCAAAUCAUAAAUCCGCUUCUCCGCCGGCGGCACGUACUCCCCGGAGGGCGGUUCCUCGGCCUGGCACCGUAGAGCACGAAGCUGCACGAGCUCCGGUUCACCGUCCUGCCUGUCGGCGACGCGGCGGGCUCGCUGACUUGGGACGGGUCCUUGCUGGCGCCGCUGAUAUACCCCGCCCACCACACCAACACGCUGCAGGCCUUGUGGUCGAGGCUGGUCUCGCAGGUGAGCGUCCCGCCGGAGGCCACGCGCGUCCAUGUGAUGGCCGACGUCGGCAUCCUCCGGCGCGAGGACUACGCGCGGAGGCGCAUGGAGCGCGUGCGCGCCACGCUGGCGAGCAUGAUGGCGGAGCCGUGGCCCGGGUACCACGUCGCCAUGGAGCUGCGUCUGCCGGAGUCCGUGCACAUGCAAUGCGCGGAUGAAGCUGAAGCCGUCGACGGCGAGGACGUGGACUACUGCGAGCGGCCGACGAAGCGGAGGAAGAUCGUCACGGAGGAGGGCGCCGGGCAGGAGUGCCCCGUCUGCUUCGAGCCGCUGGAGAGUGACGCCGCCGCGUGGCCCGAGUGCUCCUUGCCCCACAUCUUCCAUGGCGCGUGCCUUGAGGAGACGCUCAAGGAGAGCGAGAAGUGCCCCAUCUGCAGGCGCAGGCUGUCGGCUCUGGAUGAACAGGUCUAG
This 768-nucleotide ribosomal RNA is filed under the name Triticum aestivum (bread wheat). Its description in RNAcentral is "partial small subunit ribosomal RNA". The record is from RNAcentral. Lineage: Eukaryota; Viridiplantae; Streptophyta; Magnoliopsida; Poales; Poaceae.